Molecule: ribosomal RNA, 253 nt
Filed under: uncultured bacterium
Lineage: Bacteria
Description: partial 16S ribosomal RNA
Rfam family: Bacterial small subunit ribosomal RNA
Source: RNAcentral
UACAGAGGUGGCAAGCGUUGUUCGGAAUUACUGGGCGUAAAGGGCGCGUAGGCGGUUCGGUAAGUCCUGUGUGAAAUCCCUCGGCUCAACUGAGGAACUGCACGGGAGACUGCCGGGCUUGAGUUCGGGAGAGGGAAGCGGAAUUCCGGGUGUAGCGGUGAAAUGCGUAGAUAUCUGGAGGAAUACCGGUGGCGAAGGCGGCAUCCUGGACCGGCAUUGACGCUGAGGAGCGAAAGCUAGGGGAGCAAACGGG